This is an RNA transcript of Sapajus apella (tufted capuchin), 2155 nucleotides long. It is a transcript of the gene named actin, clone 302-like, with no coding region annotated. The transcript has a single exon. NCBI's taxonomy places the organism in Eukaryota, Metazoa, Chordata, Mammalia, Primates, Cebidae. The record is from RefSeq and is a predicted model, not a curated record.
CCUCUUGGUCCCUAGUCCUAAGAACCACUCAGAGGCGCCGCCGAGCUGAGCAAUGUCUUCACAGGCUGCUGUGGGAGCCAUUCAACCUGCAGAGGAUAAAAUGCAGAUGGUGGAAGGUGGUCUCUGAGUUGGAAGAGAAGGCGCUGAGGCCUCCAGGAGCAGGUUUCGAAGAAAGGCGGCGGUAUAUUCAUAUUUCAUGCCAUGACACACAAAGGAUCAGCUGACCCGGGUAGGUUGGUCUUGUGACUGCCUGGUAGGUUCUACUCCCCAUCUCACAAACAGAAGGUGCUAAACAGGGGCACAGAACCUGGCUCAGUUCUGCUACCAGCUAAAAUGUGUUCUAGAUCGCCAAGACUGCAUCUGCCCUGCAGGCACAGAGCCUCACCCCUCACCACUCCGCUGCCCGUCCACACCCGCCACCAGCUCACCAUGGAUAAUGAUAUCAUCACGUUCAUCGUCAAAAAUGGCUCUGGCAUAUGCAAGGCCAGCUUGGUGGGCAACAAUGCUCUCUGAGCUAUCUUCCCCUCCAUCGUGGGGUGUCCAGGCACUAGCGUGUGAUGGUAGGCAUGGGGCAGAAGGACUCCUAAAUGGGCGGCAAGGGCCCGGGGCAAGAGGGGCUUCCUGACCCUGAAGUACCCCAUCGAGCACAGCAACAUCACCAACUGGGAGGACAUGGAGAAGAUCUGGCAUCAUACCUUCUACAAUGAGCUGCGUGUGGCUCCUGAGGAGCACUCCGUACUGAUGACUGAGGACCCCUGAACCCCAAAGCCAACCUUGAAAAGUUGGACCAUGUUUGAGACCUUCAACACCCCAGCCAUGUAUGUGGCCAUCCAGGCUGUGCUGUCCCUGUACACCUCUGGCCAUGCCACUGGCAUCCUGAUGGAUUCCGGUGACAGGUCACCCACACUGUGCCCAUCCAUGAAGGGUAGGCCCUCCCCCACGCCAACCUACAUUUGCACCUGGCUGGCUGGGACCUGACUGACUACCUCAUGAAUAUCCUCACUGAGCGUGGCUACAGCUUCACCAACAUGGCCAACUGGGAAAUUGUGCAUGACAUCAAGGAGAAGCUGUGCUGUGUCGCCCUGGACUUUUGAGCAGGAGAUGACCAUGGCAGCCUCCAGCUCCUCCCUGGAGAAGAGCUAGGAGUUGCCUGGCAGCCAGGUCAUCACCAUCAGCAACGAGCGGCUCCGCUGCCCCGAGGCACUCUUCCAGCCUUCCUUCCUGGGCGUGGAAUCCUGUGGCAUGCAUGAAACUACCUUCAACUCCACCAGGAAGUGUGAUGUGGACAUCCACAAAGACCUGUAUGCCAACACAGUACUGUCUAGCGGUGGCACCACCAUGUGCCCUGGCAUUGCCGACAGGAUGCAGAAGGAGAUCACCACCCCUGCGCCCAGCAUGAUGAAGAUCAAGAUCAUUGCUCCUCCGAAGCACAAGUACUUCGUGUGGAUCAGCGGCUCCAUCCUGGCCUCGGCGUCCACCUUCCAGCAGAUGUGGAUCAGCAAGCAGGAGUACGAUGAGUCCAGUCCCUCCAUUGUCCACUACAAACGCCUCUAGGCAGAUGUGACUUACUUGCGUUACACCCUUUCCUGACAAACUUGAGCGGAAGACAAGAUGAGAUUGGCACGGCUUUGGUUUUUUUUUGGGGGGGGGGGUUGGGUUUUUUGUUUUUUGUUGUUGUAGAUUGUUUUUGUUUUGUCUUGACUCGGGAUUUAAAAACUGAAAUGGUGAAGGCGACAGCAGUCAGUUGGAGCGAGCAUCCCCCAAAGUUCUACAAUGUGGCCAAGGACUUUGAUUGUACAUUGUUCUUUUUUUUAAUGAUCAUUCCAAAUAUCAUGAGAUGCAUUGUUAUAGGAAGUCCCUUGCCCUUCCAAAAGCCACCCCACUUCUCUCUAAAGAGAAUGGCCCAGUCCUCUCCUGAGUCCACACAGGGGAGGUGACAGCAUUGCUUCAUGUAAAUUAUGUAACGCAAAAAAUUUUUAAUCUUCGCCUCAAUACUUUUUUAUUUUGAAUGAUCAGCCUUUGUGACUACCCCUUUUUUGUUCCCCAGCUUGAGAUGUAUGAAGGCUUUUGGUCUCCUGGGAGUGGGUGGAGGCCGCCAGGGCUUACCUGUACACUGACUGGAGACCAGUUGAAUAAAAGUGCACACCUUAAAAAA